UAUGAACUCACUCAGAAUGUU
This 21-nucleotide non-coding RNA is filed under the name Caenorhabditis elegans. Lineage: Eukaryota; Metazoa; Nematoda; Chromadorea; Rhabditida; Rhabditidae. The record is from RNAcentral.